RNAcentral lists this transfer RNA (74 nucleotides) under Marmota monax (woodchuck). RNAcentral describes it as "tRNA.Ala". It matches the Rfam family "tRNA". Rfam says of the family: Transfer RNA (tRNA) molecules are approximately 80 nucleotides in length. Their secondary structure includes four short double-helical elements and three loops (D, anti-codon, and T loops). Further hydrogen bonds mediate the characteristic L-shaped molecular structure. tRNAs have two regions of fundamental functional importance: the anti-codon, which is responsible for specific mRNA codon recognition, and the 3' end, to which the tRNAs corresponding amino acid is attached (by aminoacyl-tRNA synthetases). tRNAs cope with the degeneracy of the genetic code in two manners: having more than one tRNA (with a specific anti-codon) for a particular amino acid; and 'wobble' base-pairing, i.e. permitting non-standard base-pairing at the 3rd anti-codon position. The record is from RNAcentral. Lineage: Eukaryota; Metazoa; Chordata; Mammalia; Rodentia; Sciuridae.
UGGAGAUAUAACUCAGUUGGUAGAGUGCUUGCCUUGCAUGCACAAGGCCCUGGGUUCAAUCCCCAGCACUACAA